RNAcentral lists this ribosomal RNA (426 nucleotides) under uncultured bacterium. Its description in RNAcentral is "bacterial SSU rRNA". It matches the Rfam family "Bacterial small subunit ribosomal RNA", at positions 80 to 518 of the family's 1533-position model. The record is from RNAcentral.
AUGAGGCGAAAUUAGUAGGCGGACGGGUGAGUAACACGUGAGCAACCUACCUCGGAGGGGAUAACAUUGAGAAAUCAGUGCGUAAUACCGCAUAACACUGCGAGAGGACAUCCUCAGUAGCAGGUCAAAGGAGUAAUCCACCUGAAGAUGGGCUCGCGGCUGAUUAGCCAGUUGGUGGGGUAACGGCCUACCAAAGCGAUGAUCAGUAGCCGAGCUGAGAGGCUCAACGGCCACAUUGGGACUGAGACACGGCCCAGACUCCUACGGGAGGCAGCAGUCGGGAAUAUUGCACAAUGGAGGAAACUCUGAUGCAAGUGACGCCGCGUAUAGGAUGAGGGUCUUUGGAUUGUAAACUAUUGUCGACAGGGAAGAAAAAAUGACAGUACCUGUGGAGGAAGCUCCGGCUAACUACGUGCCAGCAGCAGC